Long non-coding RNA from Manduca sexta (tobacco hornworm), 1487 nucleotides. RefSeq lists it as uncharacterized. Lineage: Eukaryota; Metazoa; Arthropoda; Insecta; Lepidoptera; Sphingidae. The record is from RefSeq and is a predicted model, not a curated record. The transcript has 2 exons.
AGGAGUAAUCAUCUCUCGUCAGUCGACAUUCUAUUGGACCCCACUCCACUUACCAUCGGGUGCAGUUGCAUCAGUAUGCCUAUGAUUAAACGUGGUUUUUAGAUUUUAUUUUCUUCUGAUGUUUCCAAAGCAAUGCAGCUUUCAAAAUCACGAGGCAGACUGCGACAUAUGUAUUACAAGUUAUAGUUACUAGGAGAUCUACUGCUAUUAAAUGACGUAAGAAUUGAUUUGGCUAGCAUCUAGUACCUAUUUCUAAUGCCAAGCAAGAAACGCUCAGUAUUUCGGUCCGAAGAACAUUGUAGCUAUCGUAGUUAAAUAUCAGACUAUUUGUUUCGUUUUUGAGCUAUAGAAAAAAAGUUGUAAUGCCAAAAGACUUAGAAUAUUUCCGAUGGGUUGUACAUUUUAAAAUAUUACAGCAAUAAUGAGGUCUAUGCCCUCCCAAAAAAAUAUAAUAAAUAUGAAAACAAAAAACGUCUCCAAAAAAAGACAAUUAAUUCCAAAGAAAACUAUAUGUGGUGUUAAAUUGGUAAUUUCUUUGUUAUAGUUAUUAAAUUUUGGGCAAGAAGAAGACAAACCAUUCAGCUUAUCUACAAAGGGCACAAGUUUAGCAAAACUUGGAUUUACACGAGUGGAAAGGUCCAAUGGUCGUGUAGUUAUGCGCGCAAGGGAUGCAAAGCACGAAUCAUAACUCUAUCUGACAAUCUAAGUGACGGCGUUGACAGUUUGCAAACAAAACACAACCAUCGAUGAUUUGGCAUAAGUAUACUACAAAACAUCGGCUCGUGGAACGCGACACCUCAUAGUAGACGGAUAUGCCUUCAUCUGCAGGACCUACUGUCUCCAACACGUAAAAAAGACUUGGAAGUGUGCCACCCAUGCCGACUGCACCGCCAAGGUCCACACUAUAGACGACGAGAUCGUCAGUUUAAAAAACGACCACAACCAUCCAAUCGGUAGUCUUAAGUACAAAAUAGUCCAAUGGGAAUCACCGUUCGAUCUAGUCAAUUGAUCAUUGCUAUUUCAUAGUCUAAAUUGCUCAAUGUUGAAGUUUGUUAAUGUGUUCAUGUUAAUGUAUUUUUUGAAAAUACUCAAUGCAAAAUGAAUACUGAUGUUUCAAUAUUAUCAAUUUAGGAGUCAAACCCAAGUGAAAUACAAUAUUAAUUAUGGAAACACAAUCAAUUACUGGAUAAUAAAACGUAGAGUGAAUGUUCGAUGUUAACGCUGUUGUAAUAAUUCCAGGUAAUCUCUUCUACUCUACUUCGCAGCGUGGAGGACUUAUAAUGCACGUCGGUAAUUACAGGUACAACAAGCGAACCAACUCUGCGAACGAUAGGAGUAUAUGGUAUUGCACUCACUAUUAUAGCACGCCCCAAUGCAAAGCGAAAAUCUACAAGAUUGGUGGAUUCAUCUCUGAGUUAGGCAACCAUAAUCACUAAUAAACGUGUUCAAUUGUAUAUAUUUUAAUAUUUGUUUGUGUUUUAUCCUUA